RNAcentral lists this ribosomal RNA (496 nucleotides) under uncultured bacterium. RNAcentral's name for it is "partial 16S ribosomal RNA". It matches the Rfam family "Bacterial small subunit ribosomal RNA", at positions 28 to 507 of the family's 1533-position model. The record is from RNAcentral.
GAUGAACGCUGGCGGCGUGCCUAAUACAUGCAAGUCGAGCGAACAGACGAGGAGCUUGCUCCUCUGACGUUAGCGGCGGACGGGUGAGUAACACGUGGAUAACCUACCUAUAAGACUGGGAUAACUUCGGGAAACCGGAGCUAAUACCGGAUAAUAUAUUGAACCGCAUGGUUCAAUAGUGAAAGACGGUUUUGCUGUCACUUAUAGAUGGAUCCGCGCCGCAUUAGCUAGUUGGUAAGGUAACGGCUUACCAAGGCGACGAUGCGUAGCCGACCUGAGAGGGGGUUCGGCCACACUGAACCUGAGCCCCGGCCCGGACCCUUAGGGGAGGCAGAAGUAGGGAACCUUCGGCAAUGGCGAAAGCCUGACGGAGCAACGCCGCGUGAGUGAUGAAGGUCUUCGGAUCGUAAAACUCUGUUAUUAGGGAAGAACAAAUGUGUAAGUAACUAUGCACGUCUUGACGGUACCUAAUCAGAAAGCCACGGCUAACUACGUG